This 301-nucleotide ribosomal RNA is filed under the name uncultured bacterium. Its description in RNAcentral is "partial 16S ribosomal RNA". It matches the Rfam family "Bacterial small subunit ribosomal RNA", at positions 509 to 808 of the family's 1533-position model. The record is from RNAcentral.
CAGUCGCCGCGGUAAUACGAAGGGGGCUAGCGUUGUUCGGAAUCACUGGGCGUAAAGCGCACGUAGGCGGGUACUUAAGUCAGGGGUGAAAUCCCGGGGCUCAACCUCGGAACUGCCUUUGAUACUGGGUGUCUUGAGUCCGGAAGAGGUGAGUGGAACUGCGAGUGUAGAGGUGAAAUUCGUAGAUAUUCGCAAGAACACCAGUGGCGAAGGCGGCUCACUGGUCCGGAACUGACGCUGAGGUGCGAAAGCGUGGGGAGCAAACAGGAUUAGAUACCCCAGUAGUCCCUGUCUCUUAACA